RNAcentral lists this ribosomal RNA (188 nucleotides) under uncultured Prevotella sp. Its description in RNAcentral is "partial 16S ribosomal RNA". It matches the Rfam family "Bacterial small subunit ribosomal RNA", at positions 337 to 522 of the family's 1533-position model. The record is from RNAcentral. Lineage: Bacteria; Pseudomonadati; Bacteroidota; Bacteroidia; Bacteroidales; Prevotellaceae.
UCCUACGGGAGGCAGCAGUGAGGAAUAUUGGUCAAUGGACGGAAGUCUGAACCAGCCAAGUAGCGUGCAGGAUGACGGCCCUAUGGGUUGUAAACUGCUUUUGUAUGGGGAUAAAGUUAGGGACGUGUCCCUAUUUGCAGGUACCAUACGAAUAAGGACCGGCUAAUUCCGUGCCAGCAGCCGCGGUA